AUACUUACCUUGCAGGGGAGAUACCAUGAUCACAAAGAUAGUUUUCCCAUUAGUUAUCCAUUGCACUGCAGGUAUAGAGGGUCUGCCUUUGCUCUCUCCCCUGUAUAAAAC
RNAcentral lists this small nuclear RNA (111 nucleotides) under Choloepus hoffmanni (Hoffmann's two-fingered sloth). RNAcentral's name for it is "U1 spliceosomal RNA (ENSCHOG00000015961.1)". It matches the Rfam family "U1 spliceosomal RNA", at positions 1 to 116 of the family's 166-position model. From Rfam's summary of the family: U1 is a small nuclear RNA (snRNA) component of the spliceosome (involved in pre-mRNA splicing). The record is from RNAcentral. Lineage: Eukaryota; Metazoa; Chordata; Mammalia; Pilosa; Megalonychidae.